GUCUAUGUGAGCGAUAAGGCGUGGCUCGUUGUCAUGGGCAAGGAAAGAUGGCUUCAUCCCUGGCUAAUAAACGAAUCUUCCUUGUAGGGUUGAAGUGACUACCAAACCUUGAGCUGGGCCUAAUAAUGGAAUUUCUUGGACAUAGUCCGAGUCAUAGUCGCGAUCCUUAACUUUCCCGUGUUUGGGUUAGGUUCGAGUAAGGAGACUUUGGUGGACCUUGGCUGAGUUGCGGAGUCCGUACGGGAAUCAUCUUCGAGUUGAAAUCGACUUGCA
Molecule: long non-coding RNA, 273 nt
Filed under: Setaria viridis
Lineage: Eukaryota; Viridiplantae; Streptophyta; Magnoliopsida; Poales; Poaceae
Description: long non-coding RNA (SVIR_LNC006649)
Source: RNAcentral